This 586-nucleotide ribosomal RNA is filed under the name Opisthonema oglinum (Atlantic thread herring). Its description in RNAcentral is "partial 12S ribosomal RNA". It matches the Rfam family "Bacterial small subunit ribosomal RNA", at positions 556 to 1414 of the family's 1533-position model. Lineage: Eukaryota; Metazoa; Chordata; Actinopteri; Clupeiformes; Clupeidae. The record is from RNAcentral.
CGGCGUAAAGAGUGGUUAUGGAUGAACCCCCUCCACUAAAGCUAAAGACCCCCUAGGCUGUUAUACGCACCUGGGGGCUCGAACCACCUAUACGAAAGUAGCUUUAUCUCCUUCCACCAGAACCCACGACAGCUGGGGCACAAACUGGGAUUAGAUACCCCACUAUGCCCUGCCGUAAACUUAGAUAUUUCAAUACAAUAAAUAUCCGCCCGGGGACUACGAGCGCCAGCUUAAAACCCAAAGGACUUGGCGGUGCUUCAGACCCCCCUAGAGGAGCCUGUUCUAGAACCGAUAACCCCCGUUCAACCUCACUACUCCUUGCUUUUCCCGCCUAUAUACCGCCGUCGCCAGCUUACCCUGUGAAGGCAUCGCAGUAAGCAGAAUGGGCAAUGCCCAAAACGUCAGGUCGAGGUGUAGCGUACGAAGUAGGAAGAAAUGGGCUACAUUAUCUGAAGCAGAUUAUUCACGGAAAGUCACCUGAAAUUAGUGACUCAAAGGUGGAUUUAGCAGUAAGGGGAGAAUAGAGCGCUCUCCUGAAGCCGGCUCUGAAGCGCGCACACACCGCCCGUCACUCUCCCCAACAACA